CCACGGAGCUGUCUCCUUCCAGUCUACCGGCCAAUGACACCAUAGAGCCUGUGACUCAGCGGCCCGACUGCCCGGCUGCACUCCUGAGACAUCCCCGCCUGCUCAGGCGACUCCCAAGACCCUGAGAGACCUGGAUACUGAAGGGGAGGAGGCAGGAAGCCAGGAAACACCACAGAUGAAGUGAAGAAAAGCAAAGCUAUUGUCCUUAUCUACCCACUGAUAACCAAUAGUGAGGGAUGGGGAGAGGCAGCUGCUAGGUGGGAUUCUGGAGACAACAUGACUUCAACUGAGGGGCAGAGCGUGGCGGCUGCACUUUUGUUUCCAGCUUUAUGAAUCCCAGUGCUGUUCCCAGUCUUUGGAAAUUGAAGGACCUCUUAAUAUCACUCGUUUUGCGGCCUUUUACAUGAAUGAAAACAAAUCUUAUGAUAUGUUGCUUUUCAAAAACGGCUAUUUUGAAUCUGGUUGACACUUUCAGUGAAUUCGCUUUUUCUUUUCAUAACUGCAGCUGCAUGCGUGGGAAAACAGUAGGCAUAUGUAGUUGGAAGAUAGUAGCACAGCCCUUUCUCAUCUCUGUCCCAUCCCUGCAGGCUUCCAGGUGAGAAGUACGGGGCUUCACAAUUGAGAAUCAGAGUGAAAAGGAGAAACUGGCCUUUAUUGAUUAUCGACUAUUAUCAGUCAUUCUUGGAUAAGAAAGUCGCUGAUACAGAGUCCUGCCCUAACUUGGAAACUCUGCUCCACAACUAUCUGCAGAGGAGACAGCACUGAGAGGAAGCAUUUAAGCCGAAUACAUCCAAGUAGAUGUGGAUAAAAACCCAAGGAACUUUUCCUAAAAGUAAGGCACUCAUCCAGCUUUCCUGUUUGCUAACAUCAUCAUGCAAAACCCCGUGAGUUUUCAAAGGUUAUGGACCAGCCACUGCUUCUUUGUGAGGCGGGGAGACCUGCACCACGGCCACAUCAUCAAAUUCAAUGGCAUGUCCCAAGGCAACGCCUGUCCUUUCAGGCUGAAAGCUUCAUUUGUCUUCAGUUCUGCCGAGACCCCAGAGACAGAGCUGCUUUGACAGCCUCCCACUCUCUGAGGGGUCACCUGUCGCCUUGCCCAGGUCAAGGGAGGUCAGCUUCUCAAUGGGAAUUUUUUAAAAAAGGAGGCAGGCACGGGUCUGUCCAUAAAAGGACCUCUUUGAGGUUGGUGGAAAAAAAAAUGCAAUGCAUUUUGUGUUCCCAGUUAGACCUUCUGGAACGAGGCCGCCUGAGAACAGGCCUGUGAACAGUUCCUACUGGAGGACGGCCAACAGAGGCCACCCAGACGUUUUUCACAGGACCUCUAGCUGCCUCUGCUAACCCAGAGGCAGACGAAAUUGGAGUCAGGGCGGCCACCUCCUGCCCCCGUCUCCCCACCCCCACCCCUGGGUGGCUGCUGAGCAGCACAGGAGUUUACUGAACCAGCUGCCUCCUGACAGGAUAAAGCAAUUUAGGGUCAAGGACAGGAAACCAGAUUUGCACAGGCAAGCACAGUGAAAAGCUGCCAUUCGCUGAUGACCAUAUGGAGCCUUCACUCUUCUUUUCCUCCCUUCUCUUCCACACACGACCUCCCACACAACAACCCUUUCACUCAAUAUACCUGCUGGAAGAGAGUUCAGUCACAUUUUGACACAAG
Molecule: long non-coding RNA, 1654 nt
Filed under: Homo sapiens (human)
Lineage: Eukaryota; Metazoa; Chordata; Mammalia; Primates; Hominidae
Description: HSALNT0112805
Source: RNAcentral